Molecule: ribosomal RNA, 379 nt
Filed under: uncultured organism
Description: bacterial SSU rRNA
Rfam family: Bacterial small subunit ribosomal RNA
Source: RNAcentral
UGCCUUACACAUGCAAGUCGAACGGUAACAGGUUAAGCUGACGAGUGGCGAACGGGUGAGUAAUGUAUCGGAACGUGCCCAGUCGUGGGGGAUAACUACUCGAAAGAGUGGCUAAUACCGCAUACGACCUGAGGGUGAAAGCGGGGGACCGUAAGGCCUCGCGCGAUUGGAGCGGCCGAUAUCAGAUUAGCUAGUUGGUGGGGUAAAAGCCCACCAAGGCGACGAUCUGUAGCUGGUCUGAGAGGACGACCAGCCACACUGGGACUGAGACACGGCCCAGACUCCUACGGGAGGCAGCAGUGGGGAAUUUUGGACAAUGGGCGCAAGCCUGAUCCAGCAAUGCCGCGUGCAGGAUGAAGGCCUUCGGGUUGUAAACUGC